Molecule: long non-coding RNA, 208 nt
Filed under: Lathyrus oleraceus (garden pea)
Lineage: Eukaryota; Viridiplantae; Streptophyta; Magnoliopsida; Fabales; Fabaceae
Description: Pisum sativum (pea) long non-coding RNA (PSAT_LNC013479)
Source: RNAcentral
AAAGGCUCACGAUGAAAGCUGUAGGAACAAGUCUUCCGCUUCACAUCUGGAACUGUUGCCAUCUCUAUCAGUGAACCGAACUCCUGAAUGAACCUGAGAAAUGAUAUGUAUGCAGAGAUUAGCUUUUUUUCUUUCUUUUUCUUUUUCAUUUUUUUCAAUUCUUUUUUAUUGUGUAUCUUUUGAAAAUAAACAUGCUAUGAUGCAAAUG